GGCCCAGAUCGUUUACCGUGAAAAAAUUAGAGUGUUCAAAGCAGGCAGAUCCAAUUUUCUGCCACCGAAUACAUUAGCAUGGGAUAAUGGAAUAGGACCCUGUCCUCCUAUUUUCAGUUGGUUUUGGCAGCGCGAGGACUAGGGUAAUGAUUAAUAGGGAUAGUUGGGGGCAUUAAUAUUUAAUUGUCAGAGGUGAAAUUCUUGGAUUUAUGAAAGAUUAACUUCUGCGAAAGCAUCUGCCAAGGAUGUUUUCAUUAAUCAAGAACGAAAGUUAGGGGAUCGAAGACGAUCAGAUACCGUCGUAGUCUUAACCAUAAACGAUGCCGACCAGCGAUUAGGAGACGUUGAAUACAAAACACCACCAUCGGCGCGGUCGUCCUUGGCGUCUCGGUCCUUCACGGGGCCGGGGCGCGAGGGCGGCUUAGCCCGGUGGCACCGGUGAAUGACUCCCCUAGCAGCUUGUGAGA
RNAcentral lists this ribosomal RNA (467 nucleotides) under Acanthamoeba sp. S34. Its description in RNAcentral is "SSU rRNA". It matches the Rfam family "Eukaryotic small subunit ribosomal RNA", at positions 740 to 1095 of the family's 1831-position model. Lineage: Eukaryota; Discosea; Longamoebia; Acanthamoebidae. The record is from RNAcentral.